Molecule: small nucleolar RNA, 216 nt
Organism: Girardinichthys multiradiatus
Lineage: Eukaryota; Metazoa; Chordata; Actinopteri; Cyprinodontiformes; Goodeidae
Product: small nucleolar RNA U3
Exons: 1
Source: RefSeq, a predicted model, not a curated record
AAGACUAUAUUUUCAGGGAUCAUUUCUAUAGUUUCUGACUUGAGAAACGUGUUUCUAGCUUGUAUGGUCUCGCUAACCAUGAUGAUGAGUUGUGGGAUUCCCUUCUGAGCAUGAAGCGGAUAGAGAGUAAUGAUUCAGUUCAUAUGUUUUCUAUCAUUGAUGAUUGUUCUUGACUUCUUUGUAGAGUAAUGAGGAAGGGAAUAUGAUCAUAGUGGU